Molecule: ribosomal RNA, 487 nt
Filed under: bacterium PMB39
Lineage: Bacteria
Description: bacterial SSU rRNA
Rfam family: Bacterial small subunit ribosomal RNA
Source: RNAcentral
UUGAGUUUGAUCCUGGCUCAGAUUGAACGCUGGCGGCAUGCCUUACACAUGCAAGUCGAACGGCAGCACGGGGGCAACCCUGGUGGCGAGUGGCGAACGGGUGAGUAAUACAUCGGAACGUGUCCUGUAGUGGGGGAUAGCCCGGCGAAAGCCGGAUUAAUACCGCAUACGAUCUACGGAAGAAAGCGGGGGAUCGCAAGACCUCGCGCUAUAGGGGCGGCCGAUGGCAGAUUAGCUAGUUGGUGGGGUAAAGGCCUACCAAGGCGACGAUCUGUAGCUGGUCUGAGAGUGACGACCAGCCACACUGGGACUGAGACACGGCCCAGACUCCUACGGGAGGCAGCAGUGGGGAAUUUUGGACAAUGGGGGAAACCCUGAUCCAGCAAUGCCGCGUGUGUGAAGAAGGCCUUCGGGUUGUAAAGCACUUUUGUCCGGAAAGAAAACUUCUGCCCUAAUACGGUGGGAGGAUGACGGUACCGGAAGAAUA